GGCUCGGUAGCUUAGUUGGUAAAGCACUUGUCUAGCGAAUAAGGUCGUGAGUUCAAAUCUUACCAGAGCUA
Non-coding RNA from Aedes albopictus (Asian tiger mosquito), 71 nucleotides. The record is from Rfam. NCBI's taxonomy places the organism in Eukaryota, Metazoa, Arthropoda, Insecta, Diptera, Culicidae.